UCCUUAGAUGUUCUGGGCAGCACGCGCGCUACAAUGGUCUUCGCAAACGGAUGCAUUCUCGAAGGAGAAUGCCAAUCUUGGAAUCUAUGCCUUGGUCGGGACAGUUGCUUGCAAUUUUUCGACUCGAACCAGGAAUUCCUUGUAAUCGUGAUUCAUCACAUCACGAUGAAUACGUCCCUGCCCUUUGUACACACCGCCCGUCGCUCCUACCGAUCGAAGAGUUAGGUGAAUUGUUUUGAUCGAUAAGAUUUGACUAUGGUCAACUCUCGUUGUGAAAUUCUGUGAAUCUGACUGUUUAGAGGAAGGAAAAGUCGUAACA
Molecule: ribosomal RNA, 319 nt
Filed under: uncultured eukaryote
Lineage: Eukaryota
Description: partial 18S ribosomal RNA
Rfam family: Eukaryotic small subunit ribosomal RNA
Source: RNAcentral